GAGAGAGGCUUGCAGCAACGAAGACUGCUAAUUUUCGCCACCUUGGUUGGAUCCCACGGCUCACUCG
This 67-nucleotide transfer RNA is filed under the name Remora brachyptera (spearfish remora). RNAcentral describes it as "tRNA-Ser". Lineage: Eukaryota; Metazoa; Chordata; Actinopteri; Carangiformes; Echeneidae. The record is from RNAcentral.